This 1788-nucleotide long non-coding RNA is filed under the name Setaria viridis. RNAcentral's name for it is "long non-coding RNA (SVIR_LNC009370)". Lineage: Eukaryota; Viridiplantae; Streptophyta; Magnoliopsida; Poales; Poaceae. The record is from RNAcentral.
AAAAAUGUAAACAGUAGGUACAACAAGGAUUCUACUAACACAAGUUAUAUAUCUGAAACAUGCAUGUUACAAGGAAGCUAACAAAAGUGGUUUUACAAUUUUUAGUGCACUAUAUGAUUUAUAAAACAUUUAAUGGCCUUUAGACAAAAUAAAAUAUAGCACAAAAGACAUGGCAGCAACAAGCACAUACUCAACUCUAAAACAAACUAGACUUCACAAGGAAUCCAACACAACAUGAAUCACAUUUUUAGCAUUUUUCUACCAGUUUCUAUGCAUUUUUCAAAGUUGUCAACAUAGUAAAACUAGUCAUUUUCAAACAAGUCCGAAACUAUUUGGAAGCUGCCCCCUGGAAAACAUUUUCCCCUCAUAGAUCUACCCUUCUCGUAACACUCUACCGCCUACGUUUUGCUAUCUAGCCCCUAGAAACAAUCCCACCUCAAACAUAAACCCAUGACUUUAUGGAAAACCCCCUAGAACUUCUAUUCACAAAGCAAUCGGGUCCUUCUUCAACCUUGGGACAACACCACGCAUAGAUCAUAGGCAUGUCACGCAUGGGCACACUGGGGCUGGCCAUGGGAAAGGGGGAAAGGCAGCAGGGCGCUAGGAGGAGGGGCGGCGGCACCAUGCCUAGGCCAAGGGUCUUCCCUGGCGUGGCGCAGGUAGGGAAGGAAACAACGGCACACAGGGGCUCUGCGCGACGGCGGUGAAUGUCAUUGACAUCGUUGGGAACGGGCGAGGAAACUUAAGGCAAAUGGAAAAUAGGUGCAAGCUUCACGUUUAGGAGCUCACCUAGGUUCCAUUUGAACACUUGGUUGAGGACGAGGACAACCGGAGGAGGGGCGCCACAGUGAGGCAUGGGCGGCGGUGGGUGAAGUUCUGAAAGUUGGGGGAAACUCGGAUUCUGGCCAGUAGGGUGGAUGGCGGGUGAUGAGGAGGGGCUGAGGGUGGAGCUGAGGGAGUGGCGCAUCUCUAGGCGAUAGGAAUCGAAGGGAGAGGGCCGAAGUUGGGAGGAAUCAAGCGAGUGACGGGAAGAGCUCAGGAGCUCGGUUCACUGGUAAUGGAGGAUUGGGGGUGGGAGGUGGUUCUGGAGGGGCUGGUGCUCGGGUUUUAUUGGUGGGGCGAGGAAAUGAUAAGAACGGGCGAGAUGAUAAGGAUGACACGGUGAUGCUGCUUGGCAUUGGCAGUGAGGGGCGGCGCCGGAGGUGUUGCGCCGGGUGGCAGCCAUGCCUGUUCAAUGGAGGGGCUGCCCAACCAAGGGGCGGGAGGCGUGGGAGAGAGAGGGAGGGCACAUGGGAGGAUGCUCGGGUGGCCUAUGGGUGGAGGAGGAGCCCUCCAGGGGCUGGGAAGGGGCCAAUCCGGUGAUAUUUGGGCUGCGUGCCAGUGAUGGGCGUGCAGGUGGCGAGAGGUUGAAGAUGGGGCGACUGCCAUGUGGGCCCGCAGAUUUUUUAGCUAUUAAAUUUUGCUUGCUUAAAUAACCUAACUAUAGGUGUCCAAAAAUUCUCCAAAAAUACUCAUUGGAAAGAUAAGAUCACCAAUAACACAAUGCAACAAGAAUGAACUCAAAAGCUAUUACAGUUUGCACACAAUCGAGAAAACAAAAUAGCUAAAUUUGAAUUUUAAAAGAAUUUUUGGCACAAGAAAAGAGCUCUGAAAAAUUUAGUAAAAAUAUUUUAAAAUCACUAAAGUGUAUCUAGUAUUUGAAUAAAAUAAUUGAGUGUAUAGUGGUGUAGUAAACAUUGGGAUUUCUUUACAAAUUUUAUUUUUUUUCAACAAUAAAUAAUAAAUUUC